ACAGUCUGAAAAUUGCCCUGGACAUGUCCGUUAUCUGGGGUGAGAUAACUGUGCCUACAGAAAAUGGGUACAUUAAGCUUAUUGCCUGCUUUUAUAGCAGUGGAAUGAAACCCAUGUAUCCACAGUU
Molecule: small nucleolar RNA, 127 nt
Organism: Conger conger (European conger)
Lineage: Eukaryota; Metazoa; Chordata; Actinopteri; Anguilliformes; Congridae
Product: small nucleolar RNA ACA64
Exons: 1
Source: RefSeq, a predicted model, not a curated record